UACGGGGGGAGCAAGCGUUGUUCGGAUUUACUGGGCGUAAAGGGCGCGUAGGCGGCCAGCACAAGUCAGUUGUGAAAUCUCCGAGCUUAACUCGGAACGGUCAACUGAUACUGUGCGGCUAGAGUGCAGAAGGGGCAACUGGAAUUCUUGGUGUAGCGGUGAAAUGCGUAGAUAUCAGGAGGAACACCGGUGGCGAAGGCGGAUCUCUGGGCCAUUACUGACGCUGAGGAGCGAAAGCGUGGGGAGCGAACAGG
This 254-nucleotide ribosomal RNA is filed under the name uncultured bacterium. Its description in RNAcentral is "partial 16S ribosomal RNA". It matches the Rfam family "Bacterial small subunit ribosomal RNA", at positions 524 to 776 of the family's 1533-position model. The record is from RNAcentral.